UACAGAGACUGCAAGCGUUAUUCGGAUUCACUGGCGUAAAGGGUGCGCAGGCGGCCAUGUGUGUGAGGCGUGAAAGCCCGAUGCUUAACAUCGGAAUUGCACCUCAAACUACAUGGCUAGAGCAUUGGAGAGGGUAGCGGAAUUCACGGUGUAGCAGUGAAAUGCGUAGAUAUCGUGAGGAACACCAGAGGCGAAGGCGGCUACCUGGACAAUUGCUGACGCUCAGGCACGAAAG
RNAcentral lists this ribosomal RNA (235 nucleotides) under uncultured bacterium. Its description in RNAcentral is "partial 16S ribosomal RNA". It matches the Rfam family "Bacterial small subunit ribosomal RNA", at positions 524 to 759 of the family's 1533-position model. The record is from RNAcentral.